AGACAGCAGUAGCCGCGGUAAUACGUAGGUGGCAAGCGUUGUCCGGAAUUAUUGGGCGUAAAGCGCGCGCAGGCGGAUAGGUCAGUCUGUCUUAAAAGUUCGGGGCUUAACCCCGUGAUGAGAUGGAAGCUGCUGAUCUAGAGUAUCGGAGAGGAAAGUGGAAUUCCUAGUGUAGCGGUGAAAUGCGUAGAUAUUAGGAAGAACACCAGUGGCGAAGGCGACUUUCUGGACGAAAACUGACGCUGAGGCGCGAAAGCCAGGGGAGCGAACGGGAUUAGAUACCCCCGUAGUCCCUGUCUCUUAUACA
Molecule: ribosomal RNA, 307 nt
Filed under: uncultured bacterium
Lineage: Bacteria
Description: partial 16S ribosomal RNA
Rfam family: Bacterial small subunit ribosomal RNA
Source: RNAcentral